GUCGCCGUAGUUCAAUGGAUAGAAUUAGAGUUUCCGAAGCUCUCGAUACAGGUUCGAUUCCUGUCGGCGACGCCA
RNAcentral lists this transfer RNA (75 nucleotides) under Oligella urethralis. RNAcentral describes it as "tRNA-Arg(ccg)". It matches the Rfam family "tRNA". From Rfam's summary of the family: Transfer RNA (tRNA) molecules are approximately 80 nucleotides in length. RNAcentral also lists the same sequence under 5 other names. Lineage: Bacteria; Pseudomonadati; Pseudomonadota; Betaproteobacteria; Burkholderiales; Alcaligenaceae. The record is from RNAcentral.